UUUCCGUAGGUGAACCUGCGGAAGGAUCAUUAGUGAACAUAGGGACCUGACUCUGCAAAGAGGAAGCCCGAACCACACUCUUUUUCACACACCUGUGCAUUUGAAAACCUUUUUUAAAAACACCUUUUGUUGAAAAAAAGUCUUGUAAUGUCAAAAUUUGAUUUAAAAUGAAAGUAAAACUUUCAGCAAUGGAUCUCUUGGCUCUCGCAUCGAUGAAGAACGCAGC
This 226-nucleotide unclassified non-coding RNA is filed under the name uncultured fungus. RNAcentral's name for it is "sequence contains ITS1, 5.8S rRNA gene". The stretch from base 178 to 226 matches the Rfam family "5.8S ribosomal RNA", at positions 1 to 49 of the family's 154-position model. Lineage: Eukaryota; Fungi. The record is from RNAcentral.